This 123-nucleotide ribosomal RNA is filed under the name Salmo salar (Atlantic salmon). Lineage: Eukaryota; Metazoa; Chordata; Actinopteri; Salmoniformes; Salmonidae. The record is from RNAcentral.
CAUAAUAAAAAAUACAAUUUAAAAAAAUACGUCCGAUCUCGUCCAUUCUCGGAAGCUAAGCAGGGUCGGGCCUGGUUAGUACUUGGAUGGGAGACCGCCUGGGAAUACCAGGUGCUGUAAGCU